This 197-nucleotide small nuclear RNA is filed under the name Ipomoea nil (Japanese morning glory). RNAcentral's name for it is "U2 spliceosomal RNA". It matches the Rfam family "U2 spliceosomal RNA". Rfam says of the family: U2 is a small nuclear RNA (snRNA) component of the spliceosome (involved in pre-mRNA splicing). Complementary binding between U2 snRNA (in an area lying towards the 5' end but 3' to hairpin I) and the branchpoint sequence (BPS) of the intron results the bulging out of an unpaired adenosine, on the BPS, which initiates a nucleophilic attack at the intronic 5' splice site, thus starting the first of two transesterification reactions that mediate splicing. Lineage: Eukaryota; Viridiplantae; Streptophyta; Magnoliopsida; Solanales; Convolvulaceae. The record is from Rfam by way of RNAcentral.
GUACCUUUCUCAGCCUUUUGGCUAAGAUCAAGUGUAGUAUCUGUUUUUAUCAGUUUAAUAUCUAAUACGUGAGUGAUUAGCUCACAUGAUAUUAACUCAUUUUUUUUUAGGGGAAAGGUCCAUUAAGGCAACUUGCUGUCUGGGCCAUUGAGUGUUGCCUUGGUGUUGUACUAUUGCCUUGGCUUGGCACACCCCAC